RNAcentral lists this ribosomal RNA (415 nucleotides) under uncultured Glomeraceae. RNAcentral's name for it is "partial 28S ribosomal RNA". The record is from RNAcentral. Lineage: Eukaryota; Fungi; Glomeromycota; Glomeromycetes; Glomerales; Glomeraceae.
GAGAGUUAAACAGUACGUGAAAUUGUUGAAAGGGAAACGAUUGAAGUCAGUCGUGCCAGCGGGAAAUCAACCUUUCGAGUGGGGGUUUUGGAGUUUUGAAGAGUGUCAAAACCUUUGAGAUUUCAAAAUUUUUGCUCUUUUGGUGUACUUUCUCGUGGGUAGGUUAACAUCGAUUUUUGAUCAUCAUAAAAAGAUUGGAGGAAUGUAGCUUCGAUCUUGUAUUGAAGUGUUAUAGCCUUUGGUAAAUGUGAUGAUUAGGAUCGAGGAUUGCAACGAAUACCCUUUUGGGCUAUCCGCCUGAUCUCUGAUACGUGGCCUUGGUAUCGAAAGCGUGCUUAUGGUAUUAAGGUAUUACGGUCAAAAGGUUAGAACGGAUUACAUUCGUUAAGGAUGUUGACGUAAUGGCUUUAAACGA